RNAcentral lists this long non-coding RNA (275 nucleotides) under Mytilus galloprovincialis (Mediterranean mussel). The record is from RNAcentral. Lineage: Eukaryota; Metazoa; Mollusca; Bivalvia; Mytilida; Mytilidae.
GGGGGGAGGGGGGGAGGGGUUCGUGAUUCCGAAAUCCCGGACUUUAAAACAUGAAAUCCCGAGGUUCCGAAUUUAUAGAAAUUUCAAUCCCGCCAUCCCGAAAUUCGAAAAAAGAAUAGCCGGAUCCAGAAAGGAUCAAUCCGAAAUCCCGUGCUUAAAAACACCCGAUCCCGGAGUCCCGUUUAAGGUCCCGUUUAAGGUCCCCCCUCAUUUGUGUAGAUUGACUAAAUAACAAAACACAAUAUUACCAGUCAUGUCUCAGCCUGUGUGCGAUU